UGGAAUAACCUGAGGGUGAAAAAAUAACAGAAUUUUCAUUUUUGGGUGAACUAUCCCUUUAAGCUUAUUUCGUUGCAAGUGUCCCUCUCCCUUCUCUUUGUUUUAUGUAUUUCCUGUGGAGAACCUCUGUCAGCAAGCAGAAAGAUACCGUCUGGUGGAGGACUUCUCAGUGGCAUUUGGAGGUUUCUCAGUGAUGCCUUUUGCGGAAAAAAAUCAGGAAGAGAGAAAAAAAAAUAGAGGAAAAUAAAAUCUCUUUACAUAAAUAUAUUGAAGGGUGGGGUUCUAGUUUUUGUUGUUUAUCCAAACUUUGUUUACCUAUUACUGCCAUGUCAAUAGUGUGAUGUUUGUGUUUUGGCUUAAAACUGGACCUCAAUGUUUGCAGUAUUUUUAUGCCUUUUUAUUUGAUGUGCGUAACUUAAUAUUUCGAUACUUGAUUUCUGUGCGGUAUUUGAUUAUGUGUACUGUUAAAGCACCUAUUUAUAUAAUUGGAUAUGUGUUUUAGUAUAGCAAGAGACAAGUUGCUACAAGUUUGCCAAUUUGAGAAUACAAUAAAGAUACACUGAAGGAA
Molecule: long non-coding RNA, 568 nt
Organism: Sinocyclocheilus anshuiensis
Lineage: Eukaryota; Metazoa; Chordata; Actinopteri; Cypriniformes; Cyprinidae
Exons: 2
Source: RefSeq, a predicted model, not a curated record